GAUGAACGCUGGCGGCGUGCCUAAUACAUGCAAGUCGAGCGAACGGACGGGAAGCUUGCUUUUAUGAUGUUAGCGGCGGACGGAUGAGUAACACGUGGAGAACCUAACUAUAAGAAUGGGAUACCUUCAGGAAACCGGAGCUAAUACGGGAUAAUAUUUUGAACCGAAAUGUUCAAAAGUGAAAGACGGUAUUUCUGUCACUUAUAGCUCGAUACGCGCUGCAUUAGCUACUUGGUAAGGUAACGGAUUAACAAGGCAACGAUGGAUAGCCGACCUGAGAGCGUGAUCGGCUACACUGGAACUGAGACACGGUCCCGACUCCGACGGUAGGCAGCAGUAGGGAAUCUUACGCAAUGGGGGAGAGCCUGAUGGAGCAACGCGGCGGGAGUGAUGAAGGUGUUCGGAUCGGAAAACUCUGUUAUUAGGGAAGAACAUAUGUGUAAGUAACUGUGAAGAUCUUGACGGUACUUAAUGAGAAAGCCACGGCUAACUACGUG
Molecule: ribosomal RNA, 497 nt
Filed under: uncultured bacterium
Lineage: Bacteria
Description: partial 16S ribosomal RNA
Rfam family: Bacterial small subunit ribosomal RNA
Source: RNAcentral